UAUGUGAUCGUCUCUCGCAUAUCAAUAAGCGGAGGAAAAGAAACUAACAAGGAUUCCCCUAGUAACGGCGAGUGAAGCGGGAAGAGCUCAAAUUUGAAAUCUUAAAGGGUUUCCCUUUACGAAUUGUAGUUUAAAGAAGUGUUUUCUGUUGAGGUUUUGGUAAAAGUUCUUUGGAAUAGGACAUCAUAGUAGAGUGAGAAUCCCGUAUUUGACCUUUACUUUCAACUUUGUGAUACACUUUCAAAGAGUCGGAUUGUUUGGGAAUGCAGUCCAAAAUGGGUGGUAAAUUUCAUCUAAAGCUAAAUAUUGGCGAGAGGCCGAUAGCGAACAAGUACCGUGAGGGAAAGAUGAAAAGAACUUUGAAAAGAGAGUUAAACAGUACGUGAAAUUGUCAAAAGGGAAGCGUUUGACACCAGUGUUGUUUUUCUGAAAAUCAAUUAAAGAACUGUUUAUGCUAAGUUGUUUAGACUUUAUCAGCUAUCUGCUUAGUUUUGAGCUUUUCUUUAAUGCACUUUUCAGUUAACAAGUCAACAUCAAUUUCUUUUGCUGUAAAAAAGCUUGAGGAAGGUGGCUUGAGAUUCGUCUUAAGUGUUUAUAGCCUCUUGCCUAUGCAGUCGGAGAGAUUGAGGUCUGCAGCGUAGAUCCUUCGGGGCUAAAUGCAUUUGUGCUAAGUUAUAGCAUUUUAUAGACAACUUGUUGACUAUGAUUUGUCUUGUAGCUUACUCGCUUAUGUUAUUUUACCUACGCUUAGGAUGUUGAUAUCGCGCUCUCACUG
This 775-nucleotide ribosomal RNA is filed under the name uncultured Neocallimastigales. RNAcentral describes it as "partial large subunit ribosomal RNA". It matches the Rfam family "Eukaryotic large subunit ribosomal RNA", at positions 24 to 644 of the family's 3401-position model. Lineage: Eukaryota; Fungi; Neocallimastigomycota; Neocallimastigomycetes; Neocallimastigales. The record is from RNAcentral.